This is an RNA transcript of Trifolium pratense (red clover), 988 nucleotides long. It is a transcript of the gene named protein argonaute MEL1-like, with no coding region annotated. Lineage: Eukaryota; Viridiplantae; Streptophyta; Magnoliopsida; Fabales; Fabaceae. The record is from RefSeq and is a predicted model, not a curated record. The transcript is spliced from 5 exons.
CAAUAGAGUGCCUUAUAGGAGUCACUUGAAAAAAUCAAAUCAGGUAUGAAAUUUGAAUCAUCUAUAAAAAAUUUCAGCAGAAGUAUCCACUUCUUCCUGCUAUCCAAUCUGGAAGUGACACAAGACCUAUGUAUUUUUCAAUGGAUCUUUGCCAAAUUGAGUCUGGACAGAGGUACUCUAAAAGAUUGAAUGAAGAGCAAGUAACCAAUCUUCUAAGGGCUACCUGCCAGUGUCCUCAUCAGAGAGAACAAGAUAUUAAAAAUAUCGUAAAGCAGCACCGCUUCAACUCAUACAAGGUUGUGAAGGAGUUUAGAAUCAAUGUAAGAGAGGAUCUUGCUCUGGUUGAUGCCCGUGUUUUGACACCCCCAACGCUCAAAUAUCAUGGAACUGGUGGAGAAUCAAAACUUGCCCUCGGAUGGGUCAGUGGAAUAUGAUUUCUAAUAAAAUGAUUGAUGGUGGCAAGGUUCAAUUUUGGGGUUGCCUUUGCUUUGCAAGAAUGGACCCAACUCUGUUUUGCCAAGUGUUGGUUACUAUGUGUCAAGCCAAGGGACUGGUAUGAUGUAUGUUUGAACCAUAAUAUUUCCUCACAGACAUUAACCAACACCUUAUUCGCUGAUUAUUUAUCUUGGAGCUAUUCCCGGUCAUUAUGUCUAUGUCAAGUUGAAGGAUGGUUGUCCGAUACCUCCAACGUGUAUUCAAUGGAAGCAACAUUGUUCACAAGAAGCUAUUGUUUGGGAGUCAUAUUUUGCUGUUCAACAAGCCACAUUUAGUAAACUAAUGAAGGAACAAAUGGUCCACAACAAAAAGGAUGUCCGUGUUGGUUCCAAUUCUUGUGAUCCAAUUGACCUUUAAUAUUUUUUUGUUGUUUUCUGAUAUGAAUAUGUACUUACUUUACUUUGUUUUAAUUGCGACAUGAGACUAUUUCAAUUGCGAUGUAAAUGAUGUCCCCUUGAUUAAUUUCCGCAUGUUCAUGACUAACUUCCUCGGC